This 90-nucleotide microRNA precursor is filed under the name Echinops telfairi (small Madagascar hedgehog). Its description in RNAcentral is "miRNA (ENSETEG00000025805.1)". It matches the Rfam family "Eukaryotic large subunit ribosomal RNA", at positions 2794 to 2881 of the family's 3401-position model. Lineage: Eukaryota; Metazoa; Chordata; Mammalia; Afrosoricida; Tenrecidae. The record is from RNAcentral.
AAGCAGGAGGUGUCAGAAAAGUUACCACAGGGAUAACUGGCUUGCUGGCGGCCAAGCGUUCAUAGCGACGUCGCUUUUUUGAUCCUUCGA